Molecule: ribosomal RNA, 460 nt
Filed under: uncultured bacterium
Lineage: Bacteria
Description: partial 16S ribosomal RNA
Rfam family: Bacterial small subunit ribosomal RNA
Source: RNAcentral
CCUACGGGUGGCUGCAGUGAGGAAUAUUGGUCAAUGGACGCAAGUCUGAACCAGCCAUGCCGCGUGCAGGAAGACGGCUCUAUGAGUUGUAAACUUCUUUUGUACGAGGGUAAACGCAGAUACGCGUAUCUGUCUGAAAGUAUCGUACGAAUAAGGAUCGGCCAAAUCCGGGCCAGCAGCCGCGGUAAUUAGGAGGAUUCAGGCGUUAGCCGGAUUUUUUUGGUUUAAAGGGUGCGUAGGGGGUCGGAUAAGUUAAAGGUGAAAUCCCGAGGCUCAACUUCGGAAUUGCCUCUGAUACUGUUGGGCUAGAGAGUAAUUGCGGUAGGCGGAAUGUGUGGUGUAGCGGUGAAAUGCUUAGAGAUCAUGCAGAACACCGAUUGCGAAGGCAGCUUACCAAGCUACUUCUGACGUUGAAGCACGAAAGCGUGGGGAGCAAACAGGAUUAGAUACCCUAGUAGUC